GAUGAACGCUGGCGGCGUGCCUAAUACAUGCAAGUCGAGCGAACGGACGAGAAGCUUGCUUCUCUGAUGUUAGCGGCGGACGGAUGAGUAACACGUGGAUAACCUACCUAUAAGACUGGGAUAACUUCGGGAAACCGGAGCUAAUACCGGAUAAUAUUUUGAACCGCAUGGUUCAAAAGUGAAAGACGGUCUUGCUGUCACUUAUAGAUGGAUCCGCGCUGCAUUAGCUAGUUGGUAAGGUAACGGCUUACCAAGGCAACGAUGCAUAGCCGACCUGAGAGGGUGAUCGGCCACACUGGAACUGAGACACGGUCCAGACUCCUACGGGAGGCAGCAGUAGGGAAUCUUCCGCAAUGGGCGAAAGCCUGACGGAGCAACGCCGCGUGAGUGAUGAAGGUCUUCGGAUCGUAAAACUCUGUUAUUAGGGAAGAACAUAUGUGUAAGUAACUGUGCACAUCUUGACGGUACCUAAUCAGAAAGCCACGGCUAACUACGUGCCAGCAGCCGCGGUAAUACGUAGGUGGCAAGCGUUAUCCGGAAUUAUUGGGCGUAAAGCGCGCGUAGGCGGUUUUUUAGUCUGAUGUGAAAGCCCACGGCUCAACCGUGGAGGGUCAUUGGAAACUGGAAAACUUGAGUGCAGAAGAGGAAAGUGGAAUUCCAUGUGUAGCGGUGAAAUGCGCAGAGAUAUGGAGGAACACCAGUGGCGAAGGCGACUUCCUGGUCUGUAACUGACGCUGAUGUGCGAAAGCGUGGGGAUCAAACAGGAUUAGAUACCCUGGUAGUCCACGCCGUAAACGAUGAGUGCUAAGUGUUAGGGGGUUUCCGCCCCUUAGUGCUGCAGCUAACGCAUUAAGCACUCCGCCUGGGGAGUACGACCGCAAGGUUGAAACUCAAAGGAAUUGACGGGGACCCGCACAAGCGGUGGAGCAUGUGGUUUAAUUCGAAGCAACGCGAAGAACCUUACCAAAUCUUGACAUCCUUUGACAACUCUAGAGAUAGAGCCUUCCCCUUCGGGGGACAAAGUGACAGGUGGUGCAUGGUUGUCGUCAGCUCGUGUCGUGAGAUGUUGGGUUAAGUCCCGCAACGAGCGCAACCCUUAAGCUUAGUUGCCAUCAUUAAGUUGGGCACUCUAAGUUGACUGCCGGUGACAAACCGGAGGAAGGUGGGGAUGACGUCAAAUCAUCAUGCCCCUUAUGAUUUGGGCUACACAUGUGCUACAAUGGACAAUACAAAGGGCAGCGAAACCGUGAGGUCAAGCAAAUCCCAUAAAGUUGUUCUCAGUUCGGAUUGUAGUCUGCAACUCGACUACAUGAAGCUGGAAUCGCUAGUAAUCGUAGAUCAGCAUGCUACGGUGAAUACGUUCCCGGGUCU
This 1371-nucleotide ribosomal RNA is filed under the name uncultured bacterium. RNAcentral describes it as "bacterial SSU rRNA". It matches the Rfam family "Bacterial small subunit ribosomal RNA", at positions 28 to 1381 of the family's 1533-position model. The record is from RNAcentral.